CCUACGGGGCGCAGCAGUGGGGAAUAUUGGACAAUGGGCGAAAGCCUGAUCCAGCCAUGCCGCGUGUGUGAAGAAGGCCUUCGGGUUGUAAAGCACUUUCAGUGGGGAAGAAAGCCUUGGGGCUAAUACCCUCGAGGAAGGACAUCACCCACAGAAGAAGCACCGGCUAACUCCGUGCCAGCAGCCGCGGUAAUACGGAGGGUGCGAGCGUUAAUCGGAAUUACUGGGCGUAGAGCGCGCGUAGGCGGUCUGAUAAGCCGGUUGUGAAAGCCCCGGGCUCAACCUGGGAACGGCAUCCGGAACUGUCAGGCUAGAGUGCAGGAGAGGAAGGUAGAAUUCCCGGUGUAGCGGUGAAAUGCGUAGAGAUCGGGAGGAAUACCAGUGGCGAAGGCGGCCUUCUGGACUGACACUGACGCUGAGGUGCGAAAGCGUGGGUAGCAAACAGGAUUAGAUACCCUAGUAGUC
RNAcentral lists this ribosomal RNA (465 nucleotides) under Vreelandella stevensii. Its description in RNAcentral is "partial 16S ribosomal RNA". It matches the Rfam family "Bacterial small subunit ribosomal RNA", at positions 338 to 795 of the family's 1533-position model. The record is from RNAcentral. Lineage: Bacteria; Pseudomonadati; Pseudomonadota; Gammaproteobacteria; Oceanospirillales; Halomonadaceae.